AAGACUGUACUUUCAGGGAUCAUUUCUAUAGUUCGUUUCCAGAGAAGUUUCUCUGAACUCAUAGAGCACCAAUGGGAUCUAAUUAAACUCCAGA
Callithrix jacchus (white-tufted-ear marmoset) is the source of this 94-nucleotide small nucleolar RNA. Its record names the gene U3. It matches the Rfam family "Small nucleolar RNA U3". Rfam says of the family: Small nucleolar RNAs (snoRNAs) are involved in the processing and modification of rRNA in the nucleolus. NCBI's taxonomy places the organism in Eukaryota, Metazoa, Chordata, Mammalia, Primates, Cebidae. The record is from Ensembl.